CCUACGGGGGGCUGCAGUAAGGGAUAUUGGUCAAUGGGGGAAACCCUGAACCAGCAACGCCGCGUGAGGGAAGAAGGUUUUCGGAUUGUAAACCUCUGUCAGCGGGGAAGAAGAUGACGGUAGCAGAGGAGGAAGCUCCGGCUAACUACGUGCCAGCAGCCGCGGUAAUACGUAGGGAGCGAGCGUUGUCCGGAUUUACUGGGUGUAAAGGGUGUGUAGGCGGCUUGGCAAGUCAGUAGUGAAAUUCCUGGGCUCAACCCAGGAACUGCUAUUGAAACUGUCGAGCUUGAGUGAAGUAGAGGUAGGCGGAAUUCCCGGUGUAGCGGUGAAAUGCGUAGAUCUCAGGAGGAACACCAGUGGCGAAGGCGGCCUACUGGGCUUUAACUGACGCUGAGGCACGAAAGCGUGGGUAGCAAACAGGAUUAGAUACCCGAGUAGUC
RNAcentral lists this ribosomal RNA (440 nucleotides) under uncultured bacterium. RNAcentral's name for it is "partial 16S ribosomal RNA". It matches the Rfam family "Bacterial small subunit ribosomal RNA", at positions 338 to 795 of the family's 1533-position model. The record is from RNAcentral.